UGAGAUGUUGGGUUAAGUCCCGUAACGAGCGCAACCCUUGUCCUUAGUUACCAGCACCUCGGGUGGGAACUCUAAGGAGACUGCCGGUGACAAACCGGAGGAAGGUGGGGAUGACGUCAAGUCAUCAUGGCCCUUACGGCCAGGGCUACACACGUGCUACAAUGGUCGGUACAAAGGGUUGCCAAACCGCGAGGUGGAGCUAAUCCCAUAAAACCGAUCGUAGUCCGGAUCGCAGUCUGCAACUCGACUGCGUGAAGUCGGAAUCGCUAGUAAUCGUGAAUCAGAAUGU
Molecule: ribosomal RNA, 289 nt
Filed under: Phytopseudomonas argentinensis
Lineage: Bacteria; Pseudomonadati; Pseudomonadota; Gammaproteobacteria; Pseudomonadales; Pseudomonadaceae
Description: Pseudomonas argentinensis partial 16S ribosomal RNA
Rfam family: Bacterial small subunit ribosomal RNA
Source: RNAcentral